UGUGUGUGUGUGCACAGCACUUUCGCAGUUUGCAGCGUGCGUGAAAUCCGUGCAAGGAGCUCCUGCUUGCAAGCAAAGGGAGCGAUCCGUCCUGCGUGGAGCAGGAGCAUGCACUGGAGUGCAAAGAGCUGAUCUGUAAGGAAAAAGAGCCGUGUGUCAGUGUGUGAGGGGGAGAUCAGAGCUCUGAUGGAACAGCACUGGAGAAAUCCUUCCUCCGGUUGGGAAGUUGCAGUUCAAACACAGUGCUGGCAUUCGGCAGAGCAGGAGUGAGAGCGCUGGGUUUGCUGCGAUGAGGUAAUCCCGAGCAGAGAUAAGGGAAGUGGUGCAUGUAUUAACCUGAAGGGAGCGGUGAUGUCAGCAAGGGGGAAGGAAAUCAAUGACUGCCAGGAGGAGGCUGUGAUUGCACGUGUACCUGCAAGGACGGGGCAGCCGCAGCUCUGUGCCCAUCUCAGCUCUCCCUGCACCUCGUGCUGGAAUUCUGGAUUCU
Long non-coding RNA from Gallus gallus (chicken), 487 nucleotides. The record is from Ensembl. Lineage: Eukaryota; Metazoa; Chordata; Aves; Galliformes; Phasianidae.